This 292-nucleotide ribosomal RNA is filed under the name uncultured bacterium. RNAcentral describes it as "partial 16S ribosomal RNA". It matches the Rfam family "Bacterial small subunit ribosomal RNA", at positions 333 to 642 of the family's 1533-position model. The record is from RNAcentral.
AGGAACCUACGGGGGGCAGCAGUGGGGAAUAUUGCACAAUGGGGGAAACCCUGAUGCAGCAACGCCGCGUGAGUGAUGACGGCCUUCGGGUUGUAAAGCUCUGUCUUCAGGGACGAUAAUGACGGUACCUGAGGAGGAAGCCACGGCUAACUACGUGCCAGCAGCCGCGGUAAUACGUAGGUGGCGAGCGUUGUCCGGAUUUACUGGGCGUAAAGGGAGCGUAGGCGGACUUUUAAGUGUGAUGUGAAAUACUCGGGCUCAACUUGAGUGCUGCAUUUCAAACUGGAAGGUU